Caenorhabditis elegans is the source of this 144-nucleotide non-coding RNA. NCBI's taxonomy places the organism in Eukaryota, Metazoa, Nematoda, Chromadorea, Rhabditida, Rhabditidae. The record is from Ensembl.
UGAGGUGGUAAAAUAAAAUAAAUAACAGGUCUAGUUGGCUACUGGUUUCAUAAGGAAAUUAUUGAAAUAGUUUUUGAUUCACUUAUUAUAUUCAAAAACCAAUUUAGAAAAAACAAAAACUAUUCCAGAUAGAUCCUAAUACUU